GAUGAAGAACGUAGCGAAAUGCGAUAAGUAAUGUGAAUUGCAGAAUUCAGUGAAUCAUCGAAUCUUUGAACGCACAUUGCGCCCCCUGGAAUUCCGGGGGGCAUGCCUGUUCGAGCGUCUCAGGGACGAACCCUCGCGCGGGUGUACGCGCGGUCGUGGCUGCGGUGGCGUGCCCGAGGCGGCGGCCACCGCGCUGGAAUCCAUGGGCGGACGCCUGCCGCGUGGCCGAGCGUGAUAUUACGCAUUGGCGCUCGCACGCGGCGAGGCUGCCAGCCCUGGCCCGUCUGUCGGGCGGGGGAGAGCAAGACACGUGAACUCCUCGAAUCAGGUAGGGAUACCCGCUGAACUUAAGCAUAUCAAUAAGCGGAGGA
Molecule: unclassified non-coding RNA, 371 nt
Filed under: soil metagenome
Description: partial contains 5.8S ribosomal RNA, internal transcribed spacer 2, and large subunit ribosomal RNA
Rfam family: 5.8S ribosomal RNA (bases 1-120)
Source: RNAcentral